RNAcentral lists this long non-coding RNA (252 nucleotides) under Gossypium barbadense (sea-island cotton). RNAcentral's name for it is "long non-coding RNA (GBAR_LNC022931)". Lineage: Eukaryota; Viridiplantae; Streptophyta; Magnoliopsida; Malvales; Malvaceae. The record is from RNAcentral.
UCUAGAACCAGACUCAAGUCUUUAGCAUCAAUCCCAUAAUGGUAAUCAGUGCUUUCCAAUGCCUUAAAUUUCUCUUUUAGCCAUCUGCAUUGGUCUUCAAGUUGCUUGGGAGCUCCACUCUUGCGUUUUCUAUUUCUGCUACAUAAUCAAGAUCGGAGACAACGUGAUUUGCUGGAUUGACUCCUAGGUUAGAGCCUGAACCUGUCGGAAAGCUUGUUGGUGCUGAGGUACCUGUCUAAUAUUUGGGCUGUU